Molecule: ribosomal RNA, 1392 nt
Filed under: uncultured marine bacterium
Lineage: Bacteria
Description: 16S ribosomal RNA
Rfam family: Bacterial small subunit ribosomal RNA
Source: RNAcentral
ACGCUGGCGGCACGCCUAACACAUGCAAGUCGAACGAAGUAGCAAUACUUAGUGGCAGACGGGUGAGUAACAUGUGGGUAUCUGCCCUUUGGCCUGGAAUAACACGAGGAAACUUGUGCUAAUACCGGAUAAGUCUUUACGGAGAAAGCCUUAUGCACCAUUGGAUGAGCCCGCACUUGAUUAGUUUGUUGGUGGGGUAAUGGCCUACCAAGACUGUGAUCAAUAGCUGAUUUGAGAGGAUGAUCAGCCACAUUGGGACUGAGACACGGCCCAAACUCCUACGGGAGGCAGCAGUGGGGAAUCUUGCACAAUGGAGGAAACUCUGAUGCAGCGAUGCCGCGUGAGUGAAGAAGGCCCUUGGGUUGUAAAGCUCUUUCGUCGGGGAAGAAAAUGACUGUACCCGAAUAAGAAGGUCCGGCUAACUUCGUGCCAGCAGCCGCGGUAAUACGAAGGGACCUAGCGUAGUUCGGAAUUACUGGGCUUAAAGAGUUCGUAGGUGGUUGAAAAAGUUAGUGGUGAAAUCCCAGAGCUUAACUCUGGAACUGCCAUUAAAACUUUUCAGCUAGAGUAUGAUAGAGGAAAGCAGAAUUUCUAGUGUAGAGGUGAAAUUCGUAGAUAUUAGAAAGAAUACCAAUUGCGAAGGCAGCUUUCUGGAUCAUUACUGACACUGAGGAACGAAAGCAUGGGUAGCGAAGAGGAUUAGAUACCCUCGUAGUCCAUGCCGUAAACGAUGUGUGUUAGACGUUGGAAAUUUAUUUUCAGUGUCGCAGCGAAAGCGAUAAACACACCGCCUGGGGAGUACGACCGCAAGGUUAAAACUCAAAUGAAUUGACGGGGACCCGCACAAGUAGUGGAGCAUGUGGUUUAAUUCGAAGAUACGCGCAGAACCUUACCAACACUUGACAUGUUCGUCGCGACUCUAAGAGAUUAGAGUUUUCGGUUCGGCCGGACGAAACACAGGUGCUGCAUGGCUGUCGUCAGCUCGUGUCGUGAGAUGUUGGGUUAAGUCCCGCAACGAGCGCAACCCUCACUUUUAGUUGCCAUCAUUAAGUUGGGCACUCUGAAAGAACUGCCAGUGAUAAGCUGGAGGAAGGUGGGGAUGACGUCGAGUCCUCAUGGCCCUUACGUGUUGGGCUACACACGUGCUACAAUGGUAUCUACAACAGGAAGCAAGGCUGCGAGGUCAAGCAAAUCCUUAAAAGAUACCUCAGUUCGGAUUGCACUCUGCAACUCGAGUGCAUGAAGCUGGAAUUACUAGUAAUCGUGGAUCAGCGUGCCACGGUGAAUGCGUUCCCGGGUCUUGUACACACCGCCCGUCACACCAUGGGAGUUGGUUCUACCUUAAGGCAAGGUUUCAAACCCUUGACCACGGUAUAGUCAGCGACUGGGGUG